CCCUUAGAUGUUCUGGGCUGCACGCGCGCUACACUGAUGCGCUCAACGAGUUUAUGAACUUGCCCGGAAGGGUUGGUUAAUCUUUUUAAAACGCAUCGUGAUGGGGAUAGAUUAUUGAAAUUAUUAAUCUUGAACGAGGAAUUCCUAGUAAACGCAGAUCAUCAAUCUGCAUUGAUUACGUCCCUGCCCUUUGUACACACCGCCCGUCGCACCUACCGAUUGGAUGGUCCGGUGAAGCCUCGGGAUUGUGGUUCUUGCCGCUUUAUUGUGGCGUGACCGCGAGAACUUGUCUAAACCUUAUCAUCUAGAGGAAGGUGAAGUCGUAACA
This 328-nucleotide ribosomal RNA is filed under the name uncultured eukaryote. RNAcentral's name for it is "partial 18S ribosomal RNA". It matches the Rfam family "Eukaryotic small subunit ribosomal RNA", at positions 1470 to 1796 of the family's 1831-position model. The record is from RNAcentral.